Molecule: long non-coding RNA, 556 nt
Organism: Oncorhynchus keta (chum salmon)
Lineage: Eukaryota; Metazoa; Chordata; Actinopteri; Salmoniformes; Salmonidae
Exons: 3
Source: RefSeq, a predicted model, not a curated record
CCCCAGAGUCCUACUGUAUCAGAGGUUGUGGUAUAGCUAAUCCCCAGAGUCAUACUGUAUCAGAUGUUGUGGUAUAGCUAAUCCCCAGAGUCAUACUGUAUCAGAGGUUGUGGUAUAGCUAAUCCCCAGAGUCCUACUGUAUCAGAGGUUGUGGUAUAGCUAAUCCCCAGAGUCCUACUGUAUCAGAGGUUGUGGUAUAGCUAAUCCCCAGAGUCAUACUGUAUCAGAUGUUGUGGUAUAGCUAAUCCCCAGAGUCAUACUGUAUCAGAGGUUGUGGUAUAGCUAAUCCCCAGAGUCAUACUGUAUCAGAGGUUGUGGUAUAGCUAAUCCCCAGAGUCAUACUGUACCAGAGGUUGUGGUAUAGCUAAUCCCCAGAGUCAUACUGUAUCAGAGGUUGUGGUAUAGCUAAUCCCCAGAGUCAUACUGUAUCAGAGGUUGUGGUAUAGCUAAUCCCCAGAGUCAAAUAUUAAGAAAUAAAUGGAUCUGGCUAAACCUAAAUCAGACUUGCCUGUACUAAUGAUUUUCACAGACGAAGUAGAAUGACACAAUGACACUU